CCUACGGGGGGCUGCAGUGGGGAAUAUUGGACAAUGGGGGCAACCCUGAUCCAGCCAUGCCGCGUGUGUGAAGAAGGCCCUCGGGUUGUAAAGCACUUUCAGUGAGGAAGAACGCCUGGUGGUGAAUACCCAUCAGGAAAGACAUCACUCACAGAAGAAGCACCGGCUAACUCCGUGCCAGCAGCCGCGGUAAUACGGAGGGUGCGAGCGUUAAUCGGAAUUACUGGGCGUAAAGCGCGCGUAGGUGGCUUGAUAAGCCGGUUGUGAAAGCCCCGGGCUCAACCUGGGAACGGCAUCCGGAACUGUCAAGCUAGAGUGCAGGAGAGGAAGGUAGAAUUCCCGGUGUAGCGGUGAAAUGCGUAGAGAUCGGGAGGAAUACCAGUGGCGAAGGCGGCCUUCUGGACUGACACUGACACUGAGGUGCGAAAGCGUGGGUAGCAAACAGGAUUAGAUACCCUGGUAGUC
Molecule: ribosomal RNA, 465 nt
Filed under: Vreelandella stevensii
Lineage: Bacteria; Pseudomonadati; Pseudomonadota; Gammaproteobacteria; Oceanospirillales; Halomonadaceae
Description: partial 16S ribosomal RNA
Rfam family: Bacterial small subunit ribosomal RNA
Source: RNAcentral